AAUCUUUGCAUGUUGUGGCCUGAUGCUUUGUUGCUCUGCUGUUAUUGCUGUACUUCCUAUUGUGCUAUACUGAGAUGCUGUUGGAUCUUAAAACCAAUCUAAAAGCUUUGUAAUCAGAGACUUCGAAUUAUCCUUGAAGAUCCUGGGAGUUGAUAAGCAUGUAUCAGUCUCAUAAAAAUGAGAGCAGAGGUGUUUCUUUCUUUCUUUCUUUUUUUUUUCAAAAAAGAAAACAAAAAGCAAGUAUUCUAAUAUUUCACGUUGUGGUGGUUUCGUGGUUUUUUUUGUUGUUGUUGUUGUUGUCAGUAUUCCACUUCAGAACAUUACGUGGAGUUAACGAGUGAAUGUUCUGGUUCCGUUUACUCCUGACUGGGAGGGGAGGGGGCGGCAUCCCUGGAGGACCUGGCGGGAAGAGGAAGCGGGGGAGCUGCGGACGGGACGCGGAGCGGCUGCCUCUCUCCGUCUGGCCCAGCUCAGCCCGCCGCGGGGAAAGCACGUGCUUCCCUCGCACUGUCCUGGUUUGACUCUCAUUUUGGAUACCCUUGUUUUUCUGAUUUUGUUUUAGUUAGCUUCAGUAAAUUGCCCUUCCUCCUCAGGUCGUUGCCGUUGUGUUUUCUCUUUGUUAAAACUGUCAGCUCGCUCUCUGCCCUUCCCCCUCUCCCGGAGCGCACGUGGCCCGGGGCCGGCCGGGUCGUGGCAAACACUUCUACCCCUUUUUUUUCCCUCUUCUUCCUGUAGCCUGUGCCCCUCGUCACGGACUUAGAUCUAAGGAUAACCCUGCUGCUUGAGGAAAAUAAUCCUGCUCCCACAGGAUAAUGCACUCAUGGGAAACUGCCACGUGGGUGAAACACUUCAUGAAGAGUUGGUUGUGCAGAUGGAGGUACAGAAACGCUCUGUGUUGGCAGUGAAGUGAUCACAUCUGUUAAGGAAGUUUUGAGCUCUAGGAGCUGCUGUGCAUGGGAGGAUUGAAAUGAUAAGUGAGAAUUUCCCCCUUUUAUUAACUCUGCUUUUCUGAAAGAAGUCAGCGAAGACAGGUAUGGGAAUAAUUCCUUCUGGAGAGGAGUGUUCUGAACUGACUUGUCAGCUAACGAUUCUGUUCUUUUUGGGUACGAGAAGCACGUGUUGCUUGACAAAAUGUGUAAUUAAAGGUCAGGAUGUUUUGAGAACGAAUUAACUCAAGUCCUAGGAUUGAUGAUAAAAGUCCUGAUGAUAAAAGGAGCCAUUUCUUUAAUGUCACUGAAGGCAAGUAUGGAUUCACAUUUCUGAAAUCCUUUUGCACUUUUUUUUUGGAAAUGGUGUUGGCUGAUUUUUUUUUUUUUCAAGAGCAGUAAAAUGAUGUUCUUUCAGGGUUUAAUGUGGCCAUAGCUACAGAUUAACACACUGGGAAUAUCUUCAUUCUGUCAUCUCUCUGCUUCUCUAUGGGGAAAGCAGCUGACGUGGUUAUUAAAUCUGGCAGCUGCGUUGUGUGCAUGUGGGAAGUGAGCAGAGUACAGCAUACAGAAAACCAGUAGCUUCCUUUCACUGCUACGAGGCUUGAAAGGCAGACUAAAAAUCUUUCUCCUUUUGUAAUCACCAGUUGGUGGAACAGUGCACAAAUACUCCAAAUACAGUGGCAAAUUUGCAAAAUUGAAUUCCUGCUAAUCUACACAUAAACUGUGAAAACAUGAGGGCUCCCCCAAAAGUAACGGCAAGGUAAUGGAUGUUUUACUGAGGGCCUCACGUGGAUCGACUGCAACAAGGGAUCUUGGCAGAGAGGUCUUGGAGAACAGAAGAGGUGCCUGAAGACUGGAGGAUAGCCAGAGUGACUACAGAAAGGGCAAGGGAAACAACAGGCCAGUCAGUCUCACCUCUGUCCCUGGGAAAGUGACAGAACAGUUUGUUCUGGAUGCACCUCCAAGCAAGUGGAAGAGCAGGUUAUCAGGAGUAGUCAGCAUGGAUUCACCAAGGGGAAAUCAUGCUCAGCCAACCUUGUAGCCUCCUAUGAUGGCAUCUCUGGCUGGGUAGAUGCAGGAGGACCUGUGGAUAUUGUCUAUAUUGAUGUCAGCAAGGCUUUUGAUACUGUCUCCUACAUCAUCCUGAUAGCGAAGCUGGGAAAGUAUGGGAUAGAUUUGUGGGCAGUGAGGUGGGUUGAGAACUGGCUGACUGAGCUCAAAGGGUGGUGAUCAGUGGUGCAGAGUCCAGCUGUGGACCUGUGAUUAGCAGUGUUCCCCUGGGGGUCAAUGAUGGAUCUGGUCUUGUUCAAUAUCUUCAUCAAUGACCUUGAUGAGGAGAUAGUGUCCACUCUCAGCAAGUAUGCUGAUGAUACAGAGCUGGGAGGAUUGGCUGACACAACUGAUGGCUGUGCUGCCAUUCAGCAAGACUUGGACAGGCUGGAGAGCUGGGCAGUAAGAAACCAGAUGAGGUUUAACAAAAGCAGGUGUAGAGUCCUGCACCUGGGAAGAAAUAACUGCAAUUAUCAGUACAGGUUUUUGCAUGACCUAGGGGGGAGCUCUGCAGAGAAGGACCUGAGGGUCCUAGUGGACAAGGCUGGCCAUGAGCCAGCAGUAUGCCCUUGUGGCCAAGAGUGCCAAUGGAAUCUUGGGGUGCAUUACAAGGAGCAUGGCCAGCACAUCAAGAGAGGUGAUCCUCCCCCUCUGCUCUGCCCUGGUGAGGCCUUGCCUGGAGUGGACAGGGGAAAUGGCUGUUAACUGGAGCAUAGGAAGUUCUGUGCCAGCAUGUGAAAGACGGAGGGUGGUGGAGCACUGGAAUGGGCUAAUCAGAGAGGUGGUGGAGUCUCCUCUGGAAGUGUACCUGUGCAGCCUGUGUAGGAAUCCUGCUUUUGCUGGGUGUUUGGAUGCAAUCUCUAGAGGUCCCUUCCAACCCCUACGAUUCUGUGAUUGUAGACAUUAGAAUAUUUGAAUUGCAUAAGGUGAAAAGCUUCUUCCCAGGGUAUGUUUGAAGUGUCUGAGACCAAACUGAGAUUGCUUUGGAUUUUGCAAUAGAACCUAUGUAUCCAGUAUUUUGCAAUGCGUUUCUGUAUGCUUCUGUUAAUAAAGUCUUCAUGAGUUUGAAGAAUCUUCAGCAGACUCCUAUACUUGUAAUCAAUCAAUAUCAGCUUGAAGAAAAUAUGUUUAUACUAAUUCUGAUAUAGGGCUGUUUCACAAUAUGUACUUACUGCUGUUGAAGUGUUAUUGCUGAAGCUUAGACUUUUCUGCAUUGCAGUCCUUAUCAACCAAUUUGUCAUUACGAAUUAGUAAAUUAGUUGAGAACUGGCAUGUUGUGGAUUCCCAUCAUGGGCACCCACCACCACUUGCAGAAAUUGCCACUACUCAAAUGUGUAAGUUUGAGAUAUGCAAGACCAUGUAGCAUUUGUCUUGACAAAUGUGUCUUUGAAUGCUAAGCAGAGGACCAUCAUGUCGUAGUACAAAGAAUCUCUGUAUGGUGAUGGUCUUCUCUUUCUGUGUUUUGAUAGGACUGUAUGCUGGCUGGCUGGGACCCUGCUGGACUUUUUGGCAUUUCCUCCAUUGCAUGAGUACCUGCAAUAUGCAGUAUGCUGGAUAUAUCCUUACAGCAACUUUUAUCCUAAGAAUCGUUCCUAAGAAUCAUUCAGAUCUUCUCAGAGAGGAAUGCCCUUAAAGCAGUGAUGUUAAGAGAGUAUAUUGGUUUUGUACAGGUUGUUUACAAUUUAGUGGUCUGCCAAAGAAUUCUCAGGAAGUUUUAUUUUCUGAAAUGUAGCUCAGUGCCCUGCUGUGCUCUUGAAAUGCAACCAAUGAGUUACUGCUGUAGUGAUGCAUGUAGGUACUUUAUUCAAUCACUAUGAUUACUUUAUGAAGUCCUUUAGACUUAGAAAUAAUAAAAGUCAGUGAGAUUUUUUUGUUGUUUGCAGAUGCUGAAAACUGUGUUAUGAGUUGCAUGAACAUUAACAGCCAUAUGUGACAGAAUUAACACUGUAGAAAUUGCUUAAAGUUUCCUUGUAUAGUUAAACCUUAAAAUAGCUUUAUUGCUGGAGAGGGGAAAAAAAGCAGGCAGAAUGCUUCUUAAUUUAUCCUAGUUAUUGCGCUUUUGUCAGUAUGAGUGGAAUUGGAUUCCUUUAGGAUGAACUUAAACUAGAGGACAAACUCUCAGGGUCUCAUCAGAGAGAGCAUGAAUCAGUUAACUUUGGAGUAAAAUAAUAGUAAAUACUGCAUUUCUUAGUUUCUGAUUGUAAUGCAUAGCAGAACUGAAAAACAAACAAAACCAAACAGCAGCAACAAAAAGACACCUGUACAACUGAAUAUAGGCAUUGUCUAAAAGACAUUGCUGGAGCUCUGAAACGAAUCAUUAGUGCAAUAAUCAUUAUUCAUUUAGCUGUAAGAACGAAGAAACUGCAACUCUGAUGUGACUUUUGACUCCGGAUGUUAGAAAAACAUCAGCAAAUAGUUCCUGCCAAACAUGCAGGGUCUUUGCUGUCAGAAGCUAUAAAAUGUCUUAAGACAGGCUCUUUAAACUAUUGAUUCCAGUGGGAAAUCUCACUGCAAAAUUUAAGAAGCCUGAUUGCCCUCAUUACUUGAGUCUUGCAAGCCAGACAGUUCACAGGAAAAGGACAAAGAAGAGGUCUAAAAGGAUUAUAUUUUUUUUAUUGCUCUUAGUUAUGCUUAAGAGAAUAUAUCCUAUCUUUAGCAAGACUUUAUCAUUCUGUGAAGGUUCAUCUGAAGAUGUACUUGUGUUGCACAACAGAUAGCACUGUGGUUUUAAGAUGCCUGUUCUUGACCAUGAUUUAAGUGAUCUUAGGAGAAGGACAAAGGUCUUGUGACAUUUUGUAUUUACCAAAAGCCUCUUUAAAGGUGAGUAACCCAGCUAUUCUAUUUCAGGGCACAAACAGCUUGAGCCGCAGGACUGGGUGAACCUUGUGAGGUUCAGCCAAGUCAAGUGCAAGGUUUUGCACCAUGGUUGUGCUAACUCUUGCUAUCGUUGUGCCAGGGGAUGGAAGGAUUGUGCACAGACCUGUGAAAAGAAUUUGGAGGUACUGCUGUACAGCAAGCUGAAUGUGAGCCAGCAAUGUGCCCUCUCAGCCCAGAAA
Molecule: non-coding RNA, 5035 nt
Organism: Meleagris gallopavo (turkey)
Lineage: Eukaryota; Metazoa; Chordata; Aves; Galliformes; Phasianidae
Source: RefSeq, a predicted model, not a curated record